GUGCCACUGUCUCCUGCUGGGCCUGGGUCCACGGGCCGGGCCGGCCUUCCCUGCCCUCAGCGGGCCUCACAGAGGCCCUGACCCAUGCCAGCCACAGCCUCUCACUGUGCUUAGGCUACAGGGUUCUCUGUUCCAGGGACAGAGCAGCUUGGGUUCCGAGCACACAGAAUCAAGCCUUGUCAUCACCAAAGUUUCUGAGGUCACGUGUCCCCUGCCAUCAGCUUCCCAGCUGGUCCUUCAGUUCUCCCUUUGGCUGAAGCCAGCCUUUUAGCUGGGGCCCUGGCCCCGCUGUGAACCCACUGACAUGCUAAGGCCUUGGGCAAGUCACCUCUGGUAUGUGGGCCUCAGUUUUCUGAUCUAUAAAAUGGGUCCACCUUCAUUUUCCCAGCCCGACUCCAGUAGGACUGGCAUGGCGACCCAAGGAGCACAUGUUCCAUGUUCCCAGGACACAGGUGAGCAGACGAUGGCCCAGGAUGACAGGUGCACUGACUACUGAGGGGACUAGAGUCCAGGCGUGGGAUCUUUUACUGUAGCCCUGUUUUGCGGACCUAUUAAUCAUUAGUAGUACCAUUGGGAUCUUCGGGGUGCCCAGGGUGCUGUGAGCUCCCCUCCUCCCGGCUGUGCCCUGGGGAACUCUGACAUGAACGUCUUCCUCCUCAGAUCAAGCAGAAAGCUGCCCCCUUCGCCUCCCCCCGAGGGCCUUCCACCAAUCAGGUCACUGCCUCUGAGGCCCUCAGGACACAGCUGUUCUUCUGGAUGUGCCCAGGCCAGCAGUCUGUCCAUCUGCUCCAUUUCUGGGCUCCAGGCCUAGAGAGGAGAGCCAGCCAGCCCAAGCUCCUCCACUGGCCUGCCUGCCGGGACCCUCACCUCUGAUGGCUCCCGAUUCCACCCUCUGUCCCGGCCCUGCGGGACCACUGCAUGCCCCUCACCCUCCCCAGGUCCCCCAGGCUUGGCCACUGUGUCCCUGCUCGCCUGACUGAUGCAGGUGUCGUUGCCUGUUGGCUGUGUGUUCUACCGAGAGGCCUGGUCAGAGGGACAUAGAGAUCUGCUGUUUGAACCUCUCAGUCUCCUUGCUAGAUGAGUAGAAAAGUGCCAGCACCAGCCGUGGUGACAGCCGGUGUUUCCUGAGCUCUUGCGGAGCUGUGGACGUGCAGCGCUGUGGUCCCCCGUCUCCAUCCCCUGUGGCCUGGCUGCCCUGUCUCACUCCUCAUGGGAACACUGGGGAGGGUGCAGGAAGGGAGCCUGUGGAUACCAUGGGGAGGAUGGAGGGAGGCACUGCAGGCAUGACGCUUGGCAGGACUCGGUAAACGCUGAUUCCACCACCGAUUUGAGAGCAACCAUAUUACUGGCCCUGUUUUAGGAUCCUGGAGGCUGAGACCUUAAAGGGAGCUGCCACCCUGCCCAAACCCACCAGAGAUUUGGGGCCCAGGACCUGACAGCCAGAGAUGCUUUUUCUGCUGCACCCUGUGGUGCCUCCUGGUCACUGACGGGGCCUCACCGAUGGGAGGCUGGGCCAGUUUGGGGACCCCCAAUGCUCACAAUGCUGUUGCGGUGGGGGGAGAACUCGGGUCUGGGACUGCGCACCUGUGUUCUGGCCCCUCGUCUCCAGGCUGUGAGGACCCCUUCACCCGACCCACAGGCUGCGAAAGGCGCGUGGCCGCGGCGCCCAGCGCAGUGAUCCUGGCAGGGCGUCUGCGGGGAUUUACGGGCGAGGCGGCAGGUGCCAACGCAGGUCUGCCAGAGCGGGGUCUGUGCGGCCCGCCUUCCACUCAGGC
Non-coding RNA from Vicugna pacos (alpaca), 1775 nucleotides. NCBI's taxonomy places the organism in Eukaryota, Metazoa, Chordata, Mammalia, Artiodactyla, Camelidae. The record is from RefSeq and is a predicted model, not a curated record.